Adelges cooleyi (spruce gall adelgid) is the source of this 385-nucleotide long non-coding RNA. RefSeq lists it as uncharacterized. The transcript is spliced from 3 exons. Lineage: Eukaryota; Metazoa; Arthropoda; Insecta; Hemiptera; Adelgidae. The record is from RefSeq and is a predicted model, not a curated record.
AAAGCAUUAAUCUUAAAACUUAAACGAUAACUCAUUAAACCUAUGAUAGUACUAUUUAAAUUAUGAAUCGAUUAACCGUAUAAGUGCUGUCAAUAGCUUCAAAUCCAGCACACGUUAAUUUUGGAAAAGGGUUAUAACUGUGAUAACGACGACAUUCGUUAUGUAUGGAACAUUCAUUACAAUUAUUCAGUGUACAAUACAAACGGAUAUGGGUACUUUGAGUUCCUAAGAAAUAUUGGUUCGGAAGACAAUUUUCAGAUUGUGGUCGAUGUAUAUAAAAAAACAAACGAACAAUGGGUGAAAAACAAAAGCGCGAUGAGCAAAAAUAUUUGUAUUUUUCUGUUCACUGACAUGUUGUUAGUGCCAAUCGUUCAAAAAUUUUCAA